GUUCAGCGUGGUGAAGAAAUAACAUAUGCUGAUCCUACAUUCUACAAAAGAAAAGCUCACAAAUCGAGAGUUCAAGAGGAGGAAGAUGUGGUGUAUGCAGGAGUCGCCAUGAGACACUGAUCAAACUGAUUCUUUUGAGAGGCAGCCAUCUUUCUUUUCUCGUCGUUAAACUUGCAAAAGUGGAUUCGAACACAACUUAAGUGCACUUUUGCCAUUUGCUUUAGACCAUGUGCUUAGAUCCUUAAAAUAGGGCCUAAGAUCUUCCUCUGGUCACAUAUAUAUUUGGAUUGUACCUUUACCUAAUUUUUUUUAAAAUUUCUUUUUUAGCAGUUUUAUCUAAUAUCAGAAACUCUACUAUGCCAUUCAUUGUGAUAUAAAGAUGUAGACAUUUUUAAUUAAAUAUUACUUUUUGUUUCAAAAAUAUAUAUAUAAAUGAAGAAAAGCAUGAAAAUGAAAAAAAAAGUGUAACGUCAAAAUCUCCAACCAUUUUGUCAGCCAUUUUGACGGAAUACAUCCGUCAGAUACUAAGUGGCAAUGGAUCUAUUAUUAGGGGUGGCCCACCGUGGGUAAUAUAUAAGUAUUUUAUUAUACUAAUAAUAUAAAUAGUAGUAUAAUUAGCCUAAAUAUUGCAAUACUUUGCACUACAAUAUAGAUUUUUUUUCUUCCACCACUAUCUAUUAGCGCAGUGGCCGUCAGCUAACUCUUCACGUCACGUCGCACUUAUUAUUAGCAUCAAGAAAUAGCCUAUAAAAGAGGAAGAUAAAGAAAUUAAGAAUCAUAGAUCCAUAAACCAUUGUUAGGUCUGGUUUGGGGGAGGUUGCGUCCUCCACAGAGUGUACUGUGCAAACUGAUUGAACAUGUUUGAGGUGAGACAUGCUGAUAAUUUGGUGGAUAAGCCACUAGGCAUUGUUUAGUGCCAGUUUUUGCUGCUCACAGCAUUUUUAUUUUGUUUUUAGCACCAAUGUAUGUUGCAUUAAGUUUUUUUUUUUGUACUUCAUGUGGACUGCACAUUGUGAGCUGCUGCUUCAAAAAUAAACCACCACUGGCAUUUUGAAA
Non-coding RNA from Pimephales promelas (fathead minnow), 1056 nucleotides. The record is from RefSeq and is a predicted model, not a curated record. NCBI's taxonomy places the organism in Eukaryota, Metazoa, Chordata, Actinopteri, Cypriniformes, Leuciscidae.